This is a long non-coding RNA of Etheostoma spectabile (orangethroat darter), 498 nucleotides long. RefSeq lists it as uncharacterized. The record is from RefSeq and is a predicted model, not a curated record. Lineage: Eukaryota; Metazoa; Chordata; Actinopteri; Perciformes; Percidae. The transcript has 4 exons.
AACUGUAUAUAAGAGAAGCUCCACAUUCAGAGCAACACUACAACAACCUCCUCGAACAUCUGCGAGACAACCUGCUGAAGUUGUAAAGACUUGAAGGUGUGAUCACUGUAACCAUGCUGAAGGUAGUAUUUUUGCUUGGAUGCCUCCUGAGCUUCGCUCUGGCUCAUCCUACGGAUAUGGAGCACAAACGACUUGCUCGGUCAAACUCUGACUCUAACUCAAAUUCCAAUGAGCCUUUCACCUUUCCCCCUAUGGUGACUACCCCGGCUGCGGUGACUAUCCCACAGUGGGUCAGGGACUUACUUGCCCUCCUCCAACCAACUCCUAAAAAGUAAUAUGAAAACCUGCAUUGGAUGGCAUAGAAUUUUGACAAAUGUUUUUUUUUUUUCUCUUUUCCAGUUUAAAUGUCUUACAAUAAGUUUAAUUAAACAUGUGGAUCAAAAUCACUUUAUUCCCUGUAGUAGCUGACAAAUAAACCGCAUAUGGAAAACAUGGACC